Molecule: long non-coding RNA, 1006 nt
Organism: Xenopus tropicalis (tropical clawed frog)
Lineage: Eukaryota; Metazoa; Chordata; Amphibia; Anura; Pipidae
Exons: 2
Source: RefSeq, a predicted model, not a curated record
ACUCAUAGAAAAGAUUUUCGGCAAAUAAACAGUAUGCUAUGCAUUAUUGCUGCAAGAUACCCUGUGUGUGCCCUGACAGGCUCAUUCCGUUCCUGUCAGUGAAUAUGCAAGACAGGGAGGCCAGGGUGACACUGGCCCAAAGCUAGAAACACAGCCUGGAAUUUUGGCAAAUACGUUCAUUAGUUUCAUUCUGUAGCACUUAUUGACAAAAUCUGCUAGCACUGUUAGUGCUGUCUCUCCCAGACACCCAUGUAAUACCCCCCACUUUGUAAUUAAAGAGAGAGAGCAUAUUACUUGAUUGGCUGUUUCGCCUUUAGCCUAUUGGCACUUUUACUUGCUCUUUUUCUUUGCCAAUUAUGCUGUUGUUAAAAUGUCAACUUUAAUAUAUUCUUCCUAUUUGCAGCAGGCAAUUAAAUGCAGAUGAACAACACAGCAAAUCCGACUUGUGCGCUAUAAUUUACAAAUGUUAUGCCAACAAAGGGGUCUCAGUCUCUAACUGCUGAGAAUAGUUUGGCUCUGACCAAAUGGGCUCGCUGAUGCUGAAAGAAAUGGAAGGCGAUCAUGGCUGGGCGCUGGGGACAAGCUAUCGGCAAAGCAAAUCUUCAGAACACAAAAACAGUUUGCAUAUCGAGGAAGAGCCAUUAUGUGACAAAAAUAGAAAAAAAUCCAACAAAAUGGGUGUUUGCUACGCACUCAGUCAUCACUACAAAGAUGAAAUAUGUGAAAAUGGAACCUAGCCAGAACUAGGGGAAGUCUGAAAAUCUAAACCUGGAAACUAUUAAAAGGGGGUCUCAUUAUUGUAAUUUCCUCCUUACACAGACAUUAACAAUUACAAUGUAUAAAUACUCAGUAAUUUUAACUUAUAUACAGUGGAUCCUGCUGUUUCCCAAAUGGUCAUACUCAAACUACCACAUUUCUUGAUUCCCAGAGUCCUCCCAAAUAAUAUGUACUGACUGAUGACUGCCGUGAGCUUAUGUAAAAUUACCUAUUAAAAAAUCUACACAUA